GGUGAGUAACACGUGGGUGAUCUGCCCUGCACUCUGGGAUAAGCCUGGGAAACUGGGUCUAAUACCGGAUAUGACCAUUCCAUGCAUGUGGGGUGGUGGAAAGAUUUAUCGGUGCAGGAUGGGCCCGCGGCCUAUCAGCUUGUUGGUGGGGUAAUGGCCUACCAAGGCGACGACGGGUAGCCGACCUGAGAGGGUGACCGGCCACACUGGGACUGAGACACGGCCCAGACUCCUACGGGAGGCAGCAGUGGGGAAUAUUGCACAAUGGGCGGAAGCCUGAUGCAGCGACGCCGCGUGAGGGAUGAAGGCCUUCGGGUUGUAAACCUCUUUCAGCAGGGACGAAGCGUGAGUGACGGUACCUGCAGAAGAAGCACCGGCUAACUACGUGCCAGCAGCCGCGGUAAUACGUAGGGUGCGAGCGUUGUCCGGAAUUACUGGGCGUAAAGAGUUCGUAGGCGGUUUGUCGCGUCGUUUGUGAAAACCCGGGGCUCAACUUCGGGCUUGCAGGCGAUACGGGCAGACUUGAGUGUUUCAGGGGAGACUGGAAUUCCUGGUGUAGCGGUGAAAUGCGCAGAUAUCAGGAGGAACACCGGUGGCGAAGGCGGGUCUCUGGGAAACAACUGACGCUGAGGAACGAAAGCGUGGGUAGCAAACAGGAUUAGAUACCCUGGUAGUCCACGCCGUAAACGGUGGGCGCUAGGUGUGGGUUCCUUCCACGGGAUCUGUGCCGUAGCUAACGCAU
This 742-nucleotide ribosomal RNA is filed under the name Rhodococcoides yunnanense. RNAcentral describes it as "bacterial SSU rRNA". It matches the Rfam family "Bacterial small subunit ribosomal RNA", at positions 105 to 860 of the family's 1533-position model. The record is from RNAcentral. Lineage: Bacteria; Bacillati; Actinomycetota; Actinomycetes; Mycobacteriales; Nocardiaceae.